Molecule: long non-coding RNA, 5265 nt
Filed under: Sus scrofa (pig)
Lineage: Eukaryota; Metazoa; Chordata; Mammalia; Artiodactyla; Suidae
Description: lncRNA (ENSSSCG00025013758.1)
Source: RNAcentral
CAGAUGUCACGUGGUUCUUUGGAUGACAGAAGAAAAUAGGAACCAUCUCUCAAGAAAAACCACACGGGCAAAAGGUUUACCUUGGUCUUCUCAACCAACUGUUAUAUGUAAAAAAUAUUGUAACGUGGGAAGACACAAAGGAGAAGCUAGCUUCUAGAAACAUGUUGGAUCAGAGUUGAUUCUUCUUUUUAAAUAGAGGAGUGACAUGGUCAUUAAGUAUUAGCUCUGGCAGUAGAAAUAACUUAAGGAGCAAUAUAUUGGGUAGAUUAAAAGAGGCUGUAGAUAGGGACUCGUUGUAAGUCUUUUUCAAGGGACUUGGGAGACAGGAUUACCUGAAUUUAGGCAGUGGUUUUCAGGAUGGCUCUGAGGGCAGAUUGGAAAGGCCAAAUGGAUUAGGAUUAGUUACCCAAUGGAUUUGGAGAGGAGUUAUGGGAAAUAGUCUAAAAAGACGAUCUCCAUACACUGUUGGUGGGAAAGUAAAUUUACGUAACCACUAUGGAGAGCAGUAUGGAGGUUCCUUUAAAAACUAAAUAUAGGGAGUUCCCGUCGUGGCGCAGUGGUUAACGAAUCCGACUAGGAACCAUGAGGUUGCGGGUUCGGUCCCUGCCCUUGCUCAGUGGGUUAACGAUCCGGCGUUGCCGUGAGCUGUGGUGUAGGUUGCAGACGCGGCUCGGAUCCCGCGUUGCUGUGGCUCUGGCGUAGGCUGGUGGCUACAGCUCCGACUGGACCCCUAGUCUGGGAACCUCCAUAUGCCGCAGAAGCGGCCCAAAGAAAUAGCAAAAAGACCAAAAAAAAAAAAAAAAAAAAAAAAAACUGAAUAUAAAACUACCAUAUGAUCCAGCAAUCCCACUCCUCGGCAUCUGUCCAGAGAAAACCAUAAUUCCAAAAGAUACAUGUACCCCAAAGUUCCUUGUAGCCCUAUUUACAAUAGCCAGGACAUGGAUGCAACCUAAAUGUCCAUCAACAGAGGAAUGAAUAAAGAAGAUGUGGUACAUAUGUACAAUGGAAUAUUACCCCUAAAAAAGACUGAAAUCAUGCCAUUUGUGGCAAUAUGGAUGGACGUAGAGAUGAUCAUACUAAGUGAAGUCAGUCAGUCAGACAAAGCAAGACAAGUAUCCUAUGAUUUCACUUAUAUGUAGUUAGAAACUUUCCUUUAGAAAGUUUACCUGUAGAGUCAGGAAGGAGACAGAGUUUUAAAAGGGGGUAUUUUUGAAUGUGAGGAUGAUCUGAGCAUAAUUAUAAAUGGACUAUAGAAGCCAGGGGAAAGAGAACUGAAACAGCAGCUUGAACAAGAACUGAAAGAAGUUGGAAGAGGAAGGGAACAAGAGCCUUGCGGGGUAGGGGUGCUCUUUCCCUAAGAUUAGAAUGAUUGUAGGCAAAUGGGAGUGUGGGGGUACUGAAGCCAAGCAAGACUGUACCUUAUAAUGACCAUUUUCUAAGAUCGAAGGACUGGGAAGAAGGUUGAGGACUUAAGAAAAAUCCAUGAACAGGAACUUGGGUAAGCCUGGGGAAAGAACUGCUAAGCAGCCAUAAAUGCAUACAGAAAAUUUCGAAGAACUAAUCUACACCAUCAUCAAGUUUGUACCAGUAGCUACUGAAAAGAAACAGAAGAAACAAGCAAUUUAUUGAUCUUGUGUUGGAGUUGGCAAGGUGGGGGUCGGGUCAAGGUGAGAUGGGGCCGUUCGUUCCAGUGAUGAGGCUGUGGUACCAUACAGGGUGAGUGGGGAUAGCAUCGAGCCACGAACGGGCAGGUAGACUGGAAAAAUAACAAGAGGAUAAAGCCUUCGGGCCUCCAACAAGGUCUCUAAGCCAAUGUCGAGAGAAGGAGGGGACGUGAGAGAUGGAAGGGUGGGAAGUUACAUAUAAUAAAGAAUGUUGAGAGUAAUUAUUGCAGAGGUGGAAUAUUAUUAUGUAGAGUAGUAUGAGAAGACUCUGCAAGAAUAUAGGACUGAGCAGGAUCUUUAAGAAUGGGUAGAGUGGGGUUUUUUUGGUCUGUUUGUUUUUGUUUUUAGGGCCGCAGGUUAUGGAAGUUCCCAGGCUAGGGGUUGAACUGGAGCUACAGCUGCCAGCCUACACCACAGCCACAGCCAUGUGGGAUCCGAGACACGUCUGCGACCUACAGUGCGGCUCACGGCAGUGCCAGAUCAUUCACCCACUGAGCGGUGCCAGGGACGGAACCCGCAUCCUCAUGAACACUAGUCGGGUUUGUCAUCACUGAGCCACACCGGGAACUCCCAGGAACGGGUAGAGUUUCAUGGUGGAGGAGGGAGGACAUUCUGUGCCCCAAAUCAUGGAAGAACUGGAGACAGGUGGAAAGAGUACUCAUGGGGCCUGGAGAAGGGGGAGGUUGGCCAGAAAGGAAGCAGUGGGAGCCUUGCUUGCUGUACUGGAGUGGACAAGAGAAAGUGAGAUCCAUCCGUAAAUCAAGCCACAUUAUGGAAGGGUUCGAAACCCCCUUACAGGAGUAGCCCUUUUAUCUAAUGGGCAACCAGGAACCACAACAAAAUAGUAAAAGCAUGGGAAGGCCAGGAACCGAGGAAGGUGUUAGGCACUUUGCACCCCUGGAGACUGUAGCAGGGAUUCCAGAGGGGAAGGGAGUGUGCCCAGAAGUGUCAUCCAGGUGGCUCGGGUGCCGCCUGGAGCAGUGACACACACGGAGGCAGCUUCCGCGCGGAGGUGAAAGGCUUUGAGGACGAACCGGAUGCAGGAAACAUACAGAAGCGCGAGGUGGUUCUCACGUUCUGGGCCAGGAGGCCAGAAAAUAAGCCUACCGCUGAGAGGCGUGGGGACCCGCGGGAGCAGGGGCCUGCGGGAGCGGGGAGGGAGGGGCUGUGUGCCGAGCGGAGUUUUCCGCCCCAGGUGGGCCGCCCCGGGGCUUCCUGUUUGUGCGGUGAAGAAAUAAGGUUCUGAGGAAGCCCCAGGAUGUCAGAGCCUCGUGCACAUACUUAUCAUCAUACUGGCUUUAUUAAAACUGACAUGGGCCGGGCCCUGUUGUGAGAGGGCCGUAGCCGGCAUCACCCUGGCAGGAAGGAGUCAGACGUUGGGUGGCUCCUUGUGUCAUUUGGAGCAAAGGCUUCUGGUGAACAGGCUCCCUUCAUGAUGGCUGAGCUCCAAUUAAAAAACCUUUAAGGGAGGAUUAUAUGAAAAAGACUGUUUAAUCACACCUUAAUUUUUUUUUUUUUCAGUCCCAGCUGCACGGGGGUAACAGGCACCAUGCCGGGAGCACUACCUUUGAUUGAAAAGCAUAAAAAUUUUUACAGGCUUUUUUUUUUUCCCUAUUUAGUUAAAAUUUGGGGUCUCUUCUGUGUUACACUUGGGUAAUAAUCUAGGACAAAAUAGUCAAAAGUGCAUAAAUGGACCCAGUUAAAAUAUGUUUAAAAAAAUCAUCUUUGAUGGUCCCUAGUUAUUUAGGUGGUGGAAAAAAUGUGGAUUAAUGAAUAUUUUAAAUAAACUUUACUAUGUAAUAGGUUUAAAACCGGGCUAGAUAGAUCAGUAGGAACUAAGAGUUAUGAAAAUAUUAUUGAAAUGGUUGUUUGAUGGCAGAAAUAUGACAGUAUUUUAUUAUGUUUUCGGAAUGCAUUUUUUUUUCAAAAAUAUUUCCUUUUUUUAAAAUAGAAGGGGUCUUUUAAUAGUAUGCUGUUUUAUAAUUAUAUGGAGGUAUGCUACACCAGGGAAAAAAGUCCCCCAACUCUGAGUAGAUUUUGUUCUCAUUACUGGACUAUCAUCAAAAGUGAAAAAAAAAAAAAUUGAUGCCAGUAAUAACUUGUAUUUUCUCCAUUUGGAAUGCAGUUAACAGAUUUCCCCCCAUACACACAUAGAGUGCGAUUUACAGAAUUUUUAACUCAGUUCUAGAUUUAGAAUCUCUGAUUCUUCAGUGAAUUCUAAACCCAUUAAAAGAUCUUUUCAAUUCUUUAUAGAAUAAGCAAUAAUUAAUAAGUAAUAGUUCCCUAGGGCCGUUGUGAGAAAUGACCAUAAACUUGCUUAAAAAGGCAAAAAGUGUGUUUUCUCAUAGCUCUGAGAGCUCAAAGUCUGAAAUCGAAGUGUAGGCAGGGCCAUCCUCCUUCUGAAGGCGCUGGGGCACCACCGUUCUUCCUUGAUUCUUACUGCGAUUUGAGGCCAUCCUGGUGUCUCUGCCUCUCUGGUCACAUGGCCUUUGUUCCUGGAUCUCUGUCUCCUCUGGGUGUCUCCAUGCCCAAAUCUCUCUCCUUUUGUUUGUAAGGACCCCAGUCACUGGGUUUAGUGGCCCCCCCCAGAAUCCACAAGGAUUUUAUCUCAAGAUCCUUCACUCAUGACAUCUGCAAAGACCCCUUUCCCACACAAAGCCAUGUUCUGAAGGUCCAGAUAGACACACAUGAAUUUUUCUGGGGGGGAGGGAUAAUAUUCAACCCACUGUAAGUGGGGAGAAUCAUGUCUCAGCCUUGUGUUAUUUCACAUCUUAAAAGCUGUCGGCCAGACCAGCUGUAGAGGGGAGGGCCUGCUGGGAUGAGUGGCCAAAAAUGUGGAGGCCUCAGGAUACAGCACAGGAAGUGCUCUGGCAGGGGAGCCAUCCCUUGGGGCUUGCACGUUCCAUGAUGGAAUUAUCGGAUGGAACCACCGCAGGAUCCCUGGCCUUGCGUAAGUCUUCCAAGGUCUCCUGACUCUUCCGUACGUGGGAACAUAAUCAGCAGCUUUGACUCGGAUGUCUAAACUGAAUUCCCUGCAUAUUAGACUAGACCCAAGACGGGGAAAACGAGGAGCAAUGCAGUCAAGCUCUCUCUGCACUGGUAUCAUUUGUUUCUUAGCAAAUACUGAUAGCAGCCCCAUACACCUGUGUAAACUGUGUUUUCUCCUUGAGACUCACACAUGCCAGUGAGGUAGGCAAGUCCAUCACAGGCCUGUGAAAGAACAGGUUGCUCCAUCAGUGAAUUCAGCAAGUGUUUUGUGAGCCUGUGUUUGGCUCUAGGCUCUGGCUAGGAGAUCCCUGAAGCACAAAGUGUGGCGGUUUAUAGCCACUGGUCCAGUGCUGUUAAUUACAUUGUCUGCCUUGGGGAGUUCCCGUUGUGGCGCAGUGGUUAACGAAUCUGACUAGGAAACAUGAGGUUGUGGGUUCUAUCCCUGGCCUCGUUCAGUGGGUUAAGGAUCCAGUGUUGCCAUGAGCUGUGGUGUAGGUCCUAGACUCGGCUCGGAUCCUGCAUUGCUGUGGCUGUGGUGUAGGCUGGCAGCUACAGCUCUGAUUAGACCCCAAGCCUGGGAACCUCCAUAUGCUGUGGGAGUGGCCCUANNAAA